ACGGAAGGCAGCAGUGGGGAAUAUUGGGCAAUGGGGGAAACCCUGACCCAGCAACGCCGCGUGAGGGAAGAAGGCCUUCGGGUUGUAAACUUCUUUUACCAGGGACGAACAAAUGACGGUACCUGGAGAAAAAGCAACGGCUAACUACGUGCCAGCAGCCGCGGUAAUACGUAGGUUGCAAGCGUUGUCCGGAUUUACUGGGUGUAAAGGGCGUGUAGGCGGAGCUGCAAGUCAGAUGUGAAAUCCCGGGGCACAACCCCGGAACUGCAUUUGAAACUGUAGCCCUUGAGUAUCGGAGAGGCAAGCGGAAUUCCUAGUGUAGCGGUGAAAUGCGUAGAUAUUAGGAGGAACACCAGUGGCGAAGGCGGCUUGCUGGACGACAACUGACGCUGAGGCGCGAAAGCGUGGGGAGCAAACAGGAUUAGAUACCCUGGUA
RNAcentral lists this ribosomal RNA (436 nucleotides) under uncultured Oscillospiraceae bacterium. Its description in RNAcentral is "partial 16S ribosomal RNA". It matches the Rfam family "Bacterial small subunit ribosomal RNA", at positions 341 to 792 of the family's 1533-position model. Lineage: Bacteria; Bacillati; Bacillota; Clostridia; Eubacteriales; Oscillospiraceae. The record is from RNAcentral.